AAUCCAAAUUAAAUUCCGUGGAUUUUUAGAAAUGAUUUCACGAUAGUGGGAGCGAGUACGAGGCUCGGAGAAGUUGUGGAAUUAGUUCGAACGAUUAAUUUUCGAAAAAACGAACGUUAUUUAGGGGCUCGCGAAAGUUGACUUUUUAUACGUUCAAAAUUUGGGAAAACUUUCUUCAUGAAAGUUGUAGAGCUCGUCGAUACGAUCGCGUGCAUAUGCGGAACGCAAAAAUCGGAGUUCGUAUGAAUUAGUUAUGAUUUUUUGAAAAAGUUUCCAAUUUAGUAUAAAGCUUCCAUUUUUGGAAAUUUCCAAAAAUAAAAACAGAUUUUUCCAAAAUUGGAAAAUCUGCUGCGAUUUUAGUUCCCCGCCGGAAAUCGCCUCCAAAACUUCGAUCGACGAUUUCUUCCUCCUCCGGCCACCGAUCCUCACCAAACUUCUUCCAUUGGCUUCGUAUGGUCCUUGCGCACCUGUCUGUGGCAGCCUUUCACGGCGGCGCGGCCUGUAGCGGCGGCGGCAAGCCCGGUCCGAUUUAAGCUCGAUUUUGGUCAACGCCGGUUUUCUCCUAGCUCCGGCCACCAAAACUUCCGAUCCUUGGCUCCAUGAACUCCCCUCAACCUGCUGAUCAUCAUACUAGGAGGAUUGCACCUAGAGUGACCGGUUUCACGUUCGUCGGAGCUCGUGGGUUCCCCUUGAUGUUAUUAACAACUCUCUAGAAGGCAUCGAGGCCUGAAAUUGAAGCUUUGACGUCGAAAUCGAGCCUUGCCGGAUUCUGCAAAAUUCUGGAAUUUUUCCGACCACCGAAGCUUUCGAUCGGUAUAUCUCGAGCUACAGACCAUAUUUUUCUGUGAUUCUUGAACCAGUGAGUUCUUCUUGAGUUUCUUAACAACUCUUCAGAAGGAAUCGAAGCCUUAAAUUGACGUUUUUACGUCGAAUUGGAGCUCGCCGUUUUCUGCAGUUUCUCGCCGGUUUCUGGAAAAUUCCGGCCACCUUCAUACUGUUCAAGUGGCUUUGUGUGGUCAUGGGCGAAGAUCCGACCGUUGGAUCUUCGUAUAAUUGAGAAAUGGUGAUUCGGAAGGCGAUUCGUGAGAAUCCGACCGUCAGAUUUUCAUAUAAUUUUGUGGAGAUGUUUGUAAGGAUGAUUCGAGAAGAUCUGACCGUUGGAUCUUCAUUAUAAUUUUGGAGGAUGAUCCUAAGGGCGAUCCGUGAGGAUCUGACCGUUGGAUCAUCAUUAAAUUAAGAUUCGACCGUCGGAUCAUCAUAUAAUUAGAAUCCGACCGUUGGAUUUCAGUAUAUGUGUGGUUUAUGAGUAAUUUACUAAGUCAAGAUAGUAUCUGAUUAGGUGAUUGACGAAUCGAGUUGGUGGACGAUUCAGAUGGAUAUGUGGCUUUUAGAAGACGCAGCUGGAAUUGGAGGUGAGUAAACCUCACGUGGUUCAUAUUACGAACCCAAUAUAUUUAAUUGCUUUAUUUUGCAAUCAUAUGAACUAUUGUUGGUGUAUUAGACAUUCCUGUGUGAAUGUCUGUAUAUAUAUUAUUACGUGAAAUAAUAUGUAUUGUUGGAGUUGUGUUGAGUUUAUUGUUGAGAAACAAUAUAUUGUGAGGGGUAUUGAGUUUAUUGUUGAGAAACAAUAUAUUGUGAGGGGUAUUGAGUUUAUUGUUGUGAAACAAUAUAUUGAGAGAGAUGUUGAGUUUUAUUGUUGAGGAACAAUAAAUUGUUGUGAUCUGUGGAAGAUCAAUAGGUCACGGGGUGACCAUGGCAUACUAUCAGCGAACCACGCUCUCGCGCCGGGUAGGUGGAACUGAAUAGUAUUAAAUCGUGAACCACGCUCUCGCGCCGGGUAGGUGGAAACGAUCAGUUAGAGCUCUAGUCUGUCUGCCAAAUAUUGAGUGACCUUAUGGGGGAAAUUGAGAGUAACUCAUAAGUGUCUAUAUAUAUAUAUAUGAGAGUGAGAAAGUAACGUGGGUUUGUGGUGGUCUUGUAAUUUAAUAAAUCAACAGUUCUUUCUUGUUUACUCAUACUAGCUGUCAAAAGCUUACCGGGUUUUGUGUUGUUGCAACUCCCGGUACACUAUUCAAAUUGUGUAGCGGGUAAUCCUACAGGACAGGAGAACCAGGACGGUGAUCGUGCGGUUAGAGCAAUUGUUAGAGUUUUACAGCAAUUGUACGUUGUGAGGUGUGUUAUGCUCAUUUGAGCUUUACAAUAUUGCUUGUGAGAGUGAAUUGUAAUAAUGAACUCGAAGUUUCGAGAUUUGGAUUUUGUAAUUGUAAUUAUUCAUGUUUCGGAUUUGAAUUUAUUAUUCAAAAUUCGGGGCGUGACAGUUUGGUAUCAGAGCGUAAGGUGCAUAUUUGGUGAUGUGUCAAUACCUUCCGAGUGAUGGCCCGUCUGCAGCGGAUCCCCAUCGUGUGCUCUUCGGUAUUGGCUAAGUCAUUGGGUAUGCGUGAGUGUUGGGAGUUGUUUAGACCGCUAGGUCGUUUUAGGAACGUGAAUACCUUCCCUAUAGUAUUGACUUGGUUAAUAUGAAUUUGUAUUUGACUUAUACUGUGUUUUAAGUGUUAUACAUGUAUUAGCCAAGCAUACUAUACUCCUUAGGUGAUGGAUAUUCGAAGGGGUUGUACUUAGAACCUUACAGUUGUCUUGUAGGUUCGUAUGGGAAUAAGUUCAGUGGCCGCGAGUUACAAUCCUUGAGGAAUAGGAACCUCUUGAUUCAACUCUGUUAAGUCAACGAGGAUUGUUUUAUGGAAGUGAGGUUCUUUUGGAUGUUGAAGUGUUUGGUUGAAGGCAUGAUGUGGACCUAUGCACAUACCUAGUGUGGAUACGAGUAUUAAUGGAUAGAAAGUUUGCCUUCUUAAGUUGGACGUACAUAUGUUUUUGGAUGAGAUAUACAUGUCAAAUAAUAGAUAUCUUGUUUUGUAACGAGAUGUCUUAGUGGGGUUUUGGUAAUUGGCAUGGGUGAUGUGUUUAAAGUGGCUUUGAGAUAACUAUGCUAAUCUUGUGUGAGAUUGAGUUAUUAGUAUAGAUUGAGAAGGUUUUGUAGUGACGCUAUAUACACAACGUGAUGAACUUUUAGAAGGAAAAGUUAUGAGUAAAGGUAUGGGUUUUUCCCUGAUGUCUAUAGUAGACUUGUGCAUAUGGCAGCGUUUGUGGCAGUGCCAGUAAUGAUUUUGUAGCAGCUUUCGUAGCAAUGCUUAUGUGAUAGGCAGCUUGUGUAGUAGUGCUUGUGUGGCAGUGCUGGUAGUGCUUUAGUGGUAGUUUGUGUGACAAGGAAUUUUAUGGGGGCUAGAUAAAGCUAGGCUUUAUCUUGAUUGUAUUCUAAGUGGUAGGACACCUGUAAACAGGGAUUGGAAAUUCUCCGUUUGGACACCUUGGUCUGUUGACCUGACUAUGACUUGUGGACAUAGUUUUAUUUAAGUGAAGGAAAUUGAUUUUGUGAACUAGUUUUCUUAAGUUUUGGAUCGUAGUAUGGAGUUGGACUGAAGUGAAUUUGAGGUUGUUGUGUUUUAAGUUUAAGUAGGCGGGACACUUAAAGUUUUGAAAUGGAAUUUGAUCUUGGUCGGUAAUUAAU
This is a long non-coding RNA of Rosa rugosa (rugosa rose), 3562 nucleotides long. RefSeq lists it as uncharacterized. NCBI's taxonomy places the organism in Eukaryota, Viridiplantae, Streptophyta, Magnoliopsida, Rosales, Rosaceae. The transcript is spliced from 3 exons. The record is from RefSeq and is a predicted model, not a curated record.